GUAGGGAAUAUUGGGCAAUGGAUGCAAGUCUGACCCAGCCAUCCCGCGUGCCGGAAGAAGGCCCUCAGGGUUGUAAACGGCUUUUGACGGUGAAGAAUCGACAGGAUGCGUCCUGUUCUGACGGUAGCCGUUGAAUAAGCACCGGCUAACUCCGUGCCAGCAGCCGCGGUAAUACGGAGGGUGCGAGCGUUGUCCGGAUUUAUUGGGUUUAAAGGGUGCGUAGGCUGGAAGGUCAGUCAGCGGUGAAAAGCUGUCGCUUAACGAUAGUCUUGCCGCAGAUACUUCCUUUCUUGGAUGAGGAGGAGGCCACUGGAACGGAUGGUGUAGCGGUGAAAUGCAUAGAUAUCAUCCAGAACACCGAUUGCGAAGGCAGGUGGCUGUACCUUAAUCGACGCUGAUGCACGAAAGCAUGGGGAGCAAACAGGAUUAGAAACCCUGGUAGUCC
This 445-nucleotide ribosomal RNA is filed under the name uncultured bacterium. RNAcentral describes it as "partial 16S ribosomal RNA". It matches the Rfam family "Bacterial small subunit ribosomal RNA", at positions 354 to 796 of the family's 1533-position model. The record is from RNAcentral.